AGCCAGGUUUGUGCCACGCUGCAUUCCUUAUAUCUUCCCUGGUUUGCAGGUCUUUGUAAGCUGGGAAAACAAGCACAAAGUGACUCUUUUCCCUUCUGCACAGGCAGGGAUCCCUUAAAAGAACUCCAAGGAGGAAUCAGGAGGCUGGGAACAGCGGGAAGGAGGAAAAUCAGGAGUUCUCUGCCAGAAGGAAAAGCUGCCAGAGCAGCAGGAACAGGAGCUGGGGAAGAGAGGGAACACCUGGGCACAGAGGAGAAAGCUGAAAUACCAAAUUCUGCUAUGCAGGGGGAAGGUGGCAACACCCCCACGGAGAAUUCAGAUGACCAGGACAAGAUCUGAUGCAUUUAACUGCUCCUCUACAAUGUCUGACAAGCUCAAAUGGUUUUGCUUCUUUCUCUUCUUUCAAUUUGCUUUUGUUUUGAUAGCCUCAUAGUAGUCACAGUGAAGAAAAUUAACUGUGUCACAAGCUUCUCCUGAAAUACUAAAAUAUUAAAUGUGGUACUUAUACCACAUAUAUUUACUUCUAAGCUGGAAAUCUCAGCCUUUUCCUGCCUCAGAUGUCAACUUUUCACCCUUAAUUACUGCCUUGGGGAUCCAGAACACAGCUGGACCUCCAGCCCAAAGCUUUCUUCCAGGGGAAAAAAACAUGGAAAGAAAAUCAAUUUCCUUUGGGAAAAUAUCCCCCUGGACACACCUGUAUUACACAAAAGCAGUUUUUUUACAGCAAUCCACCUUUUAAUCUUGGUGUCAGAAAAGAACAUAAUGACCUGGUUCUGCCCAUGGCAGCAGGAUGGAGGAGAGGGAAAAUACUUCACAGCAGAGAAACAACAACCACAGCUGAGAUGACCUUCAGCAUGAAGAAAUAACAUAUAAAUCUCUGUGUAUUUAUUGAAAAUGGUGUUCUCCUUGCCCUGGGCGCACACACAAACUUGUGGCUGUGCUGGAAGCCAAGCAGCUAUUCCUGAGGGCUGGCAUUUGAAGGGCAUUUCAUGAUAAGGCUGCUGCUGGAGCAGAGCUUCCUCCGAGCUCAGAGCACAGGGGUGAACCCCACCUCAGAAAUUAAAAAAGCUCCCUCGAAUUAAACCCUCACUGGCUCCAGGAGUCAGGAGUCAAGCCCAUUCCUGCAAUACUCAGACCUGUAAACUCUCACUGUUCCCUCCCCUUUAUUAAACAAAGUCAGCAAAGUAAUAUUUAGAAAACUCAUCUAUGAGGAUCAUUGUUUGCAGCAAACUUUGAAGAGGAAAGAGAGAAAUAAUCUUGAUGCAAUCACAUUUUUCGUGAACUUCAGCAGCAGCAGAAGUAAGCUGGAGCUACAGAGAUAACUCAGAAAAGCAAAUUUCUUUGCUAUUUGGAGAAUCACAUGACUUGAAUGUUAAACUGCACCUAAAACUGGAGGUAUGGCUAAUUUUCAAAACACUGACAUGAGUAAUACUUUACAUUUAUGGAAAAUCUUUUUCCCAGCAGCUGUAAAGCUCCUCAGGAACACUGACUAAAUCACAACUAAAUAUACACUUCAUAUAGAAUAAAGGUAACAGGCUGAGUUUAUUAAA
This is a long non-coding RNA of Parus major (Great Tit), 1550 nucleotides long. RefSeq lists it as uncharacterized. The record is from RefSeq and is a predicted model, not a curated record. NCBI's taxonomy places the organism in Eukaryota, Metazoa, Chordata, Aves, Passeriformes, Paridae. The transcript has 3 exons.